Sinocyclocheilus anshuiensis is the source of this 957-nucleotide long non-coding RNA. RefSeq lists it as uncharacterized. The record is from RefSeq and is a predicted model, not a curated record. The transcript is spliced from 3 exons. Lineage: Eukaryota; Metazoa; Chordata; Actinopteri; Cypriniformes; Cyprinidae.
CCUUCUAUUGUGGCAAAGUGGAGCAGGAGGAAGUGAAUGCUAGGAUGUGAACAGACCAAGCCAGGAUGAGGAUGGAGCCAACAUGAAGACAACAGCAGUCUGUAAACUUUUUUUUCUUUUUACACUAUCAGUUGUUUCCUUGUUUUUGGCAAAUGAGAAAUUGCUAAGAACUGCCAGGUAUUUGUUCAUUAUGAUCUUUUACACUUUCUUUUAAAGUGGACUUAAUGGAAUUAAUAUCUAUGCUUUGGUGGGAUUGAGAAUCAUGUGUCACUAUUGUGAUGUUUUUUUGCUAUCACAGUGUAACUCACAGAUAUUCAGUGAUGUAGUUGAAAAGGAUGUUUUUCAGAAACAGAUGGAUCAGAAAGUAUCAUGGGGCAGCACUCAGUCAGUCGUAUGUCUGGAAUUCCGCUAGUUCUGAACUAUUCGUGAUUGGCAAAAGUUCACUACUAGCAGAACUCGGAUAUACAACUGAAUUCUCAACGAAAGCUCAAGAUUAGCACAGUUUGGUCUCACAUGGCCUGCCAUUGGACAGCUGCUAUAUUCACAUGAUCUUCUUAUCGGAUGAAGUACCAGAAGUUAAGACCAUCUUUGGAUGUGCUACUCCAUGAAUCAUAACUGAAGGGCUACGGACUUGAUUACAACCAGACACAUGAGAUACUUCUCUGUUUUCAUGUUUUAGCUGUGGUAAAAUUGUGUGGUCUGUUUGAAACAGGAAGAAAUAAGACCAAUGUAACAUAUUUAAUAUAUAAACUAUUGUACUGUAUGUCUCUACUCUUCAACUGCUACAUUUAACAACACAAUUCUUUCUUUCUUUGCAUUUAUUGUACAUUUUGUAAGAUAAUAAUGAAUUUCUACUAAUUCUACUGGUUCAGCAAGCCAAGACCAAGUUACAAAAAAAUGUCAAGAAUCAAAAAUUCCUAUUGUGUCUAUGUUUAUUAUUUACAAUCACUGUAAAAU